RNAcentral lists this ribosomal RNA (250 nucleotides) under uncultured bacterium. RNAcentral describes it as "partial 16S ribosomal RNA". It matches the Rfam family "Bacterial small subunit ribosomal RNA", at positions 524 to 773 of the family's 1533-position model. The record is from RNAcentral.
UACGGAGGUUGCAAGCGUUAUCCGGAUUUAUUGGGUUUAAAGGGUGCGUAGGCGGGAUAAUAAGUCAGUGGUGAAAACCUGCAGCUUAACUGUAGAACUGCCAUUGAUACUGUUAUUCUUGAGUAUAGUUGAGGUGGGCGGAAUGUGUAGUGUAGCGGUGAAAUGCUUAGAUAUUACACAGAACACCGAUUGCGUAGGCAGCUCACUAAACUAAAACUGACGCUGAGGCACGAAAGCGUGGGGAUCAAAC